Long non-coding RNA from Medicago truncatula (barrel medic), 2980 nucleotides. RefSeq lists it as uncharacterized. The record is from RefSeq and is a predicted model, not a curated record. NCBI's taxonomy places the organism in Eukaryota, Viridiplantae, Streptophyta, Magnoliopsida, Fabales, Fabaceae. The transcript is spliced from 2 exons.
UUGAGCGGGAAAAUUGUGCACUUAACCACAUUUAAUGCUAAUUUUGAAUUUCAAAUUCAUCUUACUGAAAGCUAGCGCCCUAAACCAUGCUUCAAAUUUCAAAAUCAUUCUAUCUCAUUGUAAAUUGUAAAUGCCAACAAUUAAUGUCAUCUAUUUUCAAUACUGGGUAUAGCAAGCAUUCAUUGGGAACCAUGACUGACCUAACCCUCCUCUCUCUACCUACGGUUCGUCAUCUACCCCCCUUUUCUCCCACAACUGCCACCGUUCACUCCCGCCGCUAUAACUAUAGUGUAACUUCGUCGUAUCACCACCAUCACCCGUGGUAGCACCAGCUUUGGCCAUUUCCUCACCCUUCCAUUUCAUUCAACACCAAAUUCCGACCCUCUCUGCAAUUGAUUUCAAACCCCAAAUCACCUUCCACCUCACCAUCGUUGGAGACCCAUGUUCAUGGCUGCUUCUUCUCUCUUUCUCCACCAAAGCCUCCCUCUUGAUCUCCGAUCUCUUUCUUCAAUCUACCAAACUCGGUUAGCUCUCUCUCUCUCUCUCUCUCUCUCUCUCUCUCUCUCUCUCUCUCUCUCUCACUGUUAUGUCUGUUUUAUUUUUGAUUUAUCCUCUGUCUUCAAUCUUAUGCAAUUAAUCUUUGUUAUUCAAGAACACUUAUAUGAACAUUGAAACCCCAAUAGGUCCCUUUCGGUUUAACCUACUUUUGUCUAACUAUAAUUGAUUGGAAUUGUAUAUAGUGUGUAUCUGUCAUUUCUUGAAGAUAAUUUAGUUCAUUUUACUCUUUUCUAUCUCUUCUUUUCAUUAGCCCCCUCCUUUUUACUUCUGGCCACUUUUUUCCUUUCGACUAUUCCUUAACUUCAGGUAGUUUUCUUUUUAAUUUUUUGAACCGUUUGGUUUCUGGAAUUUGUUGAUCUAACAAUGUGGUUUUAUAAAGUUUGUUCCUUUAACUUUAUAUAAUACUUUAGGGUGCUGAAAAACGUGUCAUUUGUUUAAUAAUGUGAGGUCUGUUUUAUGAUCAUUAUUACUGGAUAUGGAUAAGAAAACGAUAUUAAGUAUAUGUUUGGUUCCACAUUUGGAGAAAGCAAAAUUGAUAUUGAUUUCGACAAGUAGAAUUGAUUUUGCAUCCGGAAUGGAUUCUAACUUUUUUUAACAAUAGAAUUAUUCUAACAUGAAGCUAUAAUUUAGAGUGUUGCCUCUACAAUUGAUUUUUAUCCUUGAAUUUAUUGUUCAAGCCACUAUUACAUGAAUAUAUUCAAACAUACUCUUUACAUUUAACUCUUUUUUGGCCGGAAUCAAUUUAAUCAAAAUUAAUUUUAGACAUUUAAGUAUUGAUUUGUUGAAUGGUCUUUUGUUUAGACAUUUAAGUAUUGAUUUGCUGAAAUUUCUUCUGAUGGAGCUUUUGCAAAAGGUGCAUUUUUUUCUUCUGAUGGAAGCUAACAGAAGUUCAUGAAUAAAUUUAACUUUUCAAUCCACAACUCAGCUUAUCAUGAAUUACAUUUGAUUUUUGUUUGAUUCUUAUACAUACCUACACCAUGCUGAAAAUUUUCUGCAUUUUAUAACAUAAUCAUGCAGAAUAUCUAAACUGCAGGUCUCUAUUUAAGUAGUACAUUUAAGUGUUUAAAUUCUAAAUCAAUGCAAAACACGUUUCUUUGAAAUUAUUAAAAGGGAAAACAAUUAGAACCAUUAGACUUCACUGUCAUGCCUUUUUCAUAAAGUAGAUUCACCAAAAUUUUAAAAAUUGCUACGGAUGAAGGAGAUUCAUCAAGUCGGUUCACACUAUUUCAAUCCUUGACAGCAACUCCAACCCGAUACGUUUUCUCUUUGGUAAAAUGCUUGGAUUGGAGGUAAUUCCUCAUGCUGCUCAUUCUUUGACUAAUUCCAGGAUGUUGCUCAUUCUUUCACUAAUCCUUCAUAUCUCCCUCAAUUUUUGCAACAUAACAAUUGGAGCAUAUUACUGUCAGUAAAACUCUUACAACAGAGUUUGAGAGGUUUUUCUGUUUCAAAUGUUGUUAUUUGAUAUGUUGUGCCCUCCAACCUUUGAUAAUUUUAGGCUAAAUCUACAUAAUCUCUGAUUUAUUGCACUUCUAUCAUUUUUCUUUAUGUUUUAUUUAUUCUGUUGUUCCUGUAUUUGUAAGGCUCCAACAAUAUUUCAUGUGUUGUUAAAAUAAGGUGAGGUUUUGGCGAUGGUGAUGACCUCUUUGACAUCCUUUCUAUGAAUUGAAUUGAAUUUUGAGUCGCAUCAUUUUCCACCUCAUUUUCAACUCCAAUUCAAUUCGUAGGUUGUAUUUCCGUUUCUUUAUAUGUAUUCACCAAUGGCGGCUACUGUUUACGUUUUCUUCAUUUUCCACUCAUAACAUCUAUUUUUUUCCCAAUUUGUAAGGGCAUAAGAGUUUCUAUUGCACUGAAUUAUCGAUGCAAGACGGCGACAUUGCUCAACUAGAUUUGUGCUGGUUCGUGUUGGAGACUAACGCUGGCAUGAAGUGGAUAAAAUUGAUAUUGCCAUGCACUUUUGUUGUAAAAGAUGCAGAAGGGAAUGCUGCAAUCAAGAAAGGCUUGGUGAUUAUGUUAUAGGAUGGAGAGGCCUAAGGUGAACAAUGGUUGUUUAAUUUUUUGCACUAAUGGUAUAAGUUAUUUUUGUCGUGAUGGUGCCCACCAUGAGGCACAAGGUUCAUGGAGGAAUUUGUCCAUUCUAUGAUAUUACCAAUGGUAACCUAUGUAUAUUAAGAUAGUACCUCCAAAUAUUGCUAAUGGAUGAAGAUGGUAAUUACAUCGAUACAACAACCAUAGCUAUAGCUUAUACCAUUAGUGCAAUAUUAAUAUUGCUCAUAUUUAUAUUAAGAUAGUUAUUUUAAUUACAUAGGUAUAGGCCAUCCUAUAUUGGACGAGCAUGCAACCUCAUAUGCUAACGAGAAUUCGUAUAGACGUAUGUGCAACGAUGAAAUGAAGGAACCUUAUGUUCGUGAAUCAGUUUUGGGUA